RNAcentral lists this ribosomal RNA (253 nucleotides) under uncultured bacterium. RNAcentral describes it as "partial 16S ribosomal RNA". It matches the Rfam family "Bacterial small subunit ribosomal RNA", at positions 524 to 776 of the family's 1533-position model. The record is from RNAcentral.
UACAGAGGGGGCAAGCGUUAUUCGGAAUUAUUGGGCGUAAAGGGCGCGUAGGCGGCUUUGCAAGUGACGAGUGAAAGCCCUCGGCUUAACCGGGGAACUGCAUCUGAUACUGGAUGGCUUGAGUUCGGGAGAGGGAUGCGGAAUUCCAGGUGUAGCGGUGAAAUGCGUAGAUAUGUGGAAGAACACCGGUGGCGAAGGCGGUUUUCUAUUUUAUACCUGACGCUGAGGCGCGAAAGCAAGGGGAUCAAACAGG